This 1098-nucleotide long non-coding RNA is filed under the name Amazona collaria (yellow-billed parrot). RNAcentral's name for it is "lncRNA (ENSACOG00000008315.1)". Lineage: Eukaryota; Metazoa; Chordata; Aves; Psittaciformes; Psittacidae. The record is from RNAcentral.
CAUCCAUGCAGGAAUGUACCAUGAAGCAACACUCAAGUUCUGCUUGUAUGACUGGACCUGCUAGGUUACAAAAUGUAAGCCAAAGUUCAGCUCCUGGGGGAGACAGGAAAGCAAGCUCUUACCAAGGCUCAGAGAAUCCCAGUGGAAGCCACGCCACUGCAGGCAUUCAGAUCCCUGACAGAAGAAGAGAUUUGUACUUCUAGCCGCUGGAUGGUUCUCCUUUAUUCUGGAAGAGGAAGUUCUUGCUGUGAACUCUUACUGUUUGCAACUGUGAAUCAAGAAGUGGACUGCAGCUAUUCUGUGUUCUCUCUGUUGGAAGGAUACAUGUGCUAUUUACUAUUUGGGGAGUGAAGAAUCAUCAUUUUCUAUUCAGUAAAUAAUUUCUAAUAGCUGUGGGAUUAAACCUGACUCUUUGUUGUGAAGAAAUAUUGUCUACUGAAGGCUUUUCAUGUGGCCCUCUUGAAAAGACUCUUAGCACUGUUUAAUCCAUGUAUUCAUUUACCAUCUCUUGAUAAGAAUCACAAUUCUUAUCAAUGCAAUUGCUGACUGGUAAGUGCAGGGAUGCAGUUUGAAUUUGCAUAUGCAGAUGAAUAUGGCAUAUAUAUAUAUAUGAAUAUGCAGAUGGAUUUGGCAUAAAUUCUGUGCUGCAGGUUCUGAGCUUGAUUUGAUACCUCCACGUUGUUCAAAAUAGUCUUAGGCCAGGGGCAAGAGACUUCAAGACGACCAUGGGUCAUGCUUAUGGUUUGGAAGUACAGUGAUUUGUAACCAUACUUGCAAUUCACAGGGGCAUUCUUCAGAAACUGUAUAAUAUGCAUAUGACCAAAGGCUCUGUUUUGCCUUCAUAUAAUGUAUCCUCUAGAAAACAGUGAAUUAACACUAAAUCUGGGAGGAAAUCUGGAUCCUCAUUGGGUGCAAUUAAAAUACCCUUGAGCAAAAGCUGGAGGGGGGAAUAUUCUGUUUUCCCAACCUCUCUGCAGGCAUAAGAGCUUCUGACCAAGCAAAAAUCAAUUCCUCCAUGGUAGCUGCAUCCCACAGACCUCAGAGGGGCUGAAUAUGGGUUCCAUGCAGUGGAAUCCAUGAACUGUGCAUUGAUCCUUC